ACGAACGCUGGCGGCGUGCUUAACCCAUGCAAGUCGAACGGAAAGGCCCUGCUUUUGUGGGGUGCUCGAGUGGCGAACGGGUGAGUAACACGUGAGUAACCUGCCCUUGACUUUGGGAUAACUUCAGGAAACUGGGGCUAAUACCGGAUAGGAGCUCCUGCUGCAUGGUGGGGGUUGGAAAGUUUCGGCGGUUGGGGAUGGACUCGCGGCUUAUCAGCUUGUUGGUGGGGUAGUGGCUUACCAAGGCUUUGACGGGUAGCCGGCCUGAGAGGGUGACCGGCGACAGUGGGGGGGGCGGCGGGCGCAGGAUGAGAGGGGGGGGGGAGGGGGGGAGAGGGGAAGGGGGGGCGGAAGGCGGGUGGGGCAGGGGCGGGGGCGGGAGGAGGGGCUGCGGGUUGUAGGCCGUUGGCGGCUGGGACGAGGGGGGAGGGAUGGGAGGAGGAAAAGAAGCACCGGGUAACUACGGGACAGGGGCGGGGGUAAUAGAGGGAAGAACACCAGUCAGACC
This 508-nucleotide ribosomal RNA is filed under the name uncultured bacterium. RNAcentral's name for it is "partial 16S ribosomal RNA". The stretch from base 19 to 322 matches the Rfam family "Bacterial small subunit ribosomal RNA", at positions 47 to 358 of the family's 1533-position model. The record is from RNAcentral.